Molecule: long non-coding RNA, 2393 nt
Organism: Acanthochromis polyacanthus (spiny chromis)
Lineage: Eukaryota; Metazoa; Chordata; Actinopteri; Pomacentridae
Exons: 6
Source: RefSeq, a predicted model, not a curated record
CCUCCUGAUCAGGAGUCUGUUUACUACAGCACUGAGCCACCAAACACAGCCAGGUAAUCAGAUUACUGUCAGAGCUAAUGAACACAGCCAGGUAAUCAGAUUACUGUCAGAGCUAAUGAACACAGCCAGGUAAUCAGAUUACUGUCAGAGCUAAUGAACACAGCCAGGUAAUCAGAUUACUGUCAGAGCCACCGAACACAGCCAGGUAAUCAGAUUACUGUCAGAGCCACCAAACACAGCCAGGUAAUCAGAUUACUGUCAGAGCCACCGAACACAGCCAGGUAAUCAGAUUACUGUCAGAGCCACCGAACACAGCCAGGUAAUCAGAUUACUGUCAGAGCUAAUGAACACAGCCAGGUAAUCAGAUUACUGUCAGAGCUAAUGAACACAGCCAGGUAAUCAGAUUACUGUCAGAGCCAAUGAACACAGCCAGGUAAUCAGAUUACUGUCAGAGCCAAUGAACACAGCCAGGUAAUCAGAUUACUGUCAGAGCCAAUGAACACAGCCAGGUAAUCAGAUUACUGUCAGAGCUAAUGAACACAGCCAGGUAAUCAGAUUACUGUCAGAGCUAAUGAACACAGCCAGGUAAUCAGAUUACUGUCAGAGCCACCGAACACAGCCAGGUAAUCAGAUUACUGUCAGAGCUAAUGAACACAGCCAGGUAAUCAGAUUACUGUCAGAGCCACCAAACACAGCCAGGUAAUCAGAUUACUGUCAGAGCCACUGAACACAGCCAGGUAAUCAGAUUACUGUCAGAGCCACCAAACACAGCCAGGUAAUCAGAUUACUGUCAGAGCCACUGAACACAGCCAGGUAAUCAGAUUACUAUCAGAGCCACCGAACACAGCCAGGUAAUCAGAUUACUGUCAGAGCCACCAAACACAGCCAGGUAAUCAGAUUACUGUCAGAGCCACCAAACACAGCCAGGUAAUCAGAUUACUGUCAGAGCUAGCAAACAGCCAGGUAAUCAGAUUACUGUCAGAGCUACCGAACACAACCAGGUAAUCAGAUUACUGUCAGAGCUACAAACACAGCCAGGUAAUCAGAUUACUGUCAGAGCUACAAACACAGCCAGGUAAUCAGAUUACUGUCAGAGCUACCGAACACAGCCAGGUAAUCAGAUUACUGUCAGAGCUAAUGAACACAGCCAGGUAAUCAGAUUACUGUCAGAGCUAAUGAACACAGCCAGGUAAUCAGAUUACUGUCAGAGCUAAUGAACACAGCCAGGUAAUCAGAUUACUGUCAGAGCUAAUGAACACAGCCAGGUAAUCAGAUUACUGUCAGAGCCACCGAACACAGCCAGGUAAUCAGAUUACUGUCAGAGCUAAUGAACACAGCCAGGUAAUCAGAUUACUGUCAGAGCUAAUGAACACAGCCAGGUAAUCAGAUUACUGUCAGAGCCAAUGAACACAGCCAGGUAAUCAGAUUACUGUCAGAGCCAAUGAACACAGCCAGGUAAUCAGAUUACUGUCAGAGCCAAUGAACACAGCCAGGUAAUCAGAUUACUGUCAGAGCUAAUGAACACAGCCAGGUAAUCAGAUUACUGUCAGAGCCACCAAACACAGCCAGGUAAUCAGAUUACUGUCAGAGCCACCAAACACAGCCAGGUAAUCAGAUUACUGUCAGAGCCACUGAACACAGCCAGGUAAUCAGAUUACUAUCAGAGCCACCGAACACAGCCAGGUAAUCAGAUUACUGUCAGAGCCACCAAACACAGCCAGGUAAUCAGAUUACUGUCAGAGCCACCAAACACAGCCAGGUAAUCAGAUUACUGUCAGAGCUAGCAAACAGCCAGGUAAUCAGAUUACUGUCAGAGCCACCAAACACAGCCAGGUAAUCAGAUUACUGUCAGAGCCACCAAACACAGCCAGGUAAUCAGAUUACUGUCAGAGCUACCGAACACAGCCAGGUAAUCAGAUUACUGUCAGAGCUAAUGAACACAGCCAGGUAAUCAGAUUACUGUCAGAGCUAAUGAACACAGCCAGGUAAUCAGAUUACUGUCAGAGCCACUGAACACAGCCAGGUAAUCAGAUUACUGUCAGAGCCACCAAACACAGCCAGGUAAUCAGAUUACUGUCAGAGCCACCGAACACAGCCAGGUAAUCAGAUUACUGUCAGAGCCACCGAACACAGCCAGGUAAUCAGAUUACUGUCAGAGCCACCGAACACAGCCAGGUAAUCAGAUUACUGUCAGAGCCACCAAACACAGCCAGGUAAUCAGAUUACUGUCAGAGCCACCAAACACAGCCAGGUAAUCAGAUUACUGUCAGAGCUAGCAAACAGCCAGGUAAUCAGAUUACUGUCAGAGCUACCGAACACAACCAGGUAAUCAGAUUACUGUCAGAGCUACAAACACAGCCAGGUAAUCAGAUUACUGUCAGAGCUACAAACAC